RNAcentral lists this ribosomal RNA (460 nucleotides) under uncultured bacterium. RNAcentral's name for it is "partial 16S ribosomal RNA". It matches the Rfam family "Bacterial small subunit ribosomal RNA", at positions 338 to 795 of the family's 1533-position model. The record is from RNAcentral.
CCUACGGGUGGCAGCAGUGAGGAAUAUUGGUCAAUGGUCGGGAGACUGAACCAGCCAAGCCGCGUGAGGGAGGAAGGUACAGCGUAUCGUAAACCUCUUUUGUCAGGGAACAAAGGCGGGGACGUGUCCCCGGAUGAGUGUACCUGAAGAAAAAGCAUCGGCUAACUCCGUGCCAGCAGCCGCGGUAAUACGGAGGAUGCGAGCGUUAUCCGGAUUUAUUGGGUUUAAAGGGGGCGCAGGCGGUCUGUUAAGUCAGCGGUUAAAGUCCGGGGCUCAACCCCCGCCCCGCGGUUGAAACUGGCAGUCGCGAGUUGGAGAGAAGUAGGCGGAAUGCGCGGUGUAGCGGUGAGAUGCAUAGAGAUCGCGCAGAACUCCGAUUGCGAAGGCAGCAUGCCGGCUCCACACUGACGCUGAGGCACGAAAGCGUGGGUAUCGAACAGGAUUAGAUACCCUUGUAGUC